Panicum hallii is the source of this 2443-nucleotide RNA transcript. It is a transcript of the gene named ABC transporter G family member 3, with no coding region annotated. The transcript is spliced from 12 exons. The record is from RefSeq and is a predicted model, not a curated record. Lineage: Eukaryota; Viridiplantae; Streptophyta; Magnoliopsida; Poales; Poaceae.
AGCAGAGAGCAGAGAGCAGAGCAAAGCUGUAAAGACGAGCGAGCGCUGGAGUGGCAAUGGCGCUCCAUCCGCCAUCCUAGCUAGUAGCAUGCAUCCUCCUCCUCCUCUUGGGAGAAGAGCAAUGGAGGCGGUCUCCUCGGACCAGUAUCGCUCCUCCUCCUCCUCCGCCAGCAGCCCCGCGCGCCGCUACUACCUCCCCAAGCCCGGCGCGCUCCGCCGCCCCAUCUCCUUCGAGGACUCGCCCGACUGGGACGACAUCCACCUCGACGACAACAUCCACCUCGCGACGGCAGCCUCCGCCUCCGCAUCCAUCAACAGCAGCGCCUACCCGUCUCCAUCGCCAUCCCUCCCACCCGGGCCCUCCGCCUCCGCCUCCGGUGCUGCUGCAUGCCGGGAGCGCAAGGUGGCUGGGGCCACCCUCGUCUGGAAGGACCUCACCGUCUCCUCCCUCAGCACAAGCACAAACCGCUUCUCCGACCGCCUCGUCAAGAGCUCCAACGGCUACGCGCUGCCGGCCACGCUCACCGUCAUCAUGGGACCCGCCCGCUCGGGCAAAUCCACCCUGCUCCGAGCAAUUGCAGGGAGGUUCAGUGCCGCUGAGAGGAUGUACGGCGAGGUCUCUGUCAAUGGUGCCAAGUCUCGCCUACCCUACGGCUCAUAUGGUUAUGUUGAUCGAGACGAUGUGCUCAUUGACUCUCUCACAGUACGUGAGAUGCUAUACUUCUCGGCACUCCUCCAACUUCCUGGUUUCUUAUCUUCGAAGAAGUCCAUAGUGGAAGAUGCCAUCGCGGCCAUGUCACUAGGUGACCAUGCUGACAAACUGAUUGGCGGCCACUUUUUUACGAAGAAGCUUCCUAAUGGAGAAAGAAGGCGGGUCAGCAUCGCGAGAGAGCUUGUGAUGAGACCGCACGUUUUAUUUAUUGAUGAACCUUUGUAUAAUCUUGACAGUGUUUCUGCACUGCUCUUAAUGGUAACGUUGAAGAAACUUGCAAGCACUGGAUGCACGAUCAUCUUCACAAUGUAUCAGAGCAGCACAGAGGUUUUUGGGCUUUUUGAUCGCAUUUGCUUGCUUUCAAAUGGGAACACACUCUUCUUUGGAGAAACAUUGGCUUGCCUACAGCACUUCUCAAAUGCUGGAUUUCCAUGUCCAAUCAUGCAAAGUCCAUCUGACCAUUUCUUGCGGGCAAUCAAUACCGACUUUGACAGAAUCAUAGCUAUGUGCAAGAACUUACAGGAUGACCAAGGGGAUUUUUCGUCGGUGAGCAUGGACACAGCAGUGGCUAUUCGAACACUUGAAGCAACAUACAAACAAUCAGCUGACUCUGUUGCAGUUGAAUCAAUGAUUGCAAAGUUGACAGAGAAGGAAGGUCCCUACUUAAAAAGUAAAGGCAGGGCCAGUGAUGCCAUAAGAAUCGUGGUUCUAACCUGGAGAUCGUUGCUAAUUAUGUCAAGAGAUUGGAAGUACUACUGGAGCAGGCUGGCCUUGUAUAUGUUUAUUGCUCUGUCAAUCGGGACGAUAUUUUCCGACAUUGGUCAUUCACUAUCAUCUGUAAUGGUAAGGGUUUCUGCAAUAUUUGCGUUUGUAUCAUUCGUCAUCCUUCUAAGUUUUUCUGGAGUACCCGCGCAUAUUGAUGAGGUUAAGAUUUAUUGUCAUGAAGAAACUAACCGGCAUUCUGGGGCAAUGGUCUUCCUGUUAGGGCACUUCCUAUCGAGCAUUCCUUUUCUAUUCCUGGUUUCCAUUUCGUCAUCGUUGGUUUUCUACUACCUGAUAGGGCUGAGGAAUGAGUUCAGCUUCCUGAUGUACUUUGUACUCACCAUCUUUAUGUGCCUACUAGCUAACGAAGCACUGAUGAUGAUUGUCGCAUAUAUCUGGCUGGAGUUGUACAAAUGCACCUUAACUCUCGCUUGCCUACACGUUAUCAUGAUGCUUGUGGCGGGGUAUUUCCGAAAACGAGAAACUUUACCUUAUGCUGUAUGGACUUACCCAUUGUCCUUCAUUUCGUUUCACACAUACGCGGUGCAGGGCUUGGUGGAAAACGAGUAUGUGGGUACAUCCUUUGCUGUGGGAGAGAUAAGGAGUAUACCUGGUGUCCAAGCCGUUCGAGGUUCAUACGAUAUCUCAUCUUCCGCAAACGCAAAGUGGGUGAACCUCCUGGUGUUGCUUCUGAUGGCCAUUGGAUACCGGAUUGUCCUGUACAUGUUGCUUCGGCUAAAUGUGAGGAAACAGGUUGGCAUGGGGAGGGCUGCUUGGUGGUCUAGAAUCCAGAGAGGUGCUAGUGCGAAGUGAGCUCCGUUUGUUAAUGAAUUGUAGGUUGUGGGCAAGAGGAGUUGUUAACUUUGGUCUUGUGUGUAUGCAGUAUCAUAUCAAAUGAUCAAUCAUGGUCUGACAUACGGAUACAUACAUACAUACAUGUAUACCUUCAUUGGUUUGGUGGUUCUUCAA